Long non-coding RNA from Trifolium pratense (red clover), 367 nucleotides. RefSeq lists it as uncharacterized. The transcript has 2 exons. Lineage: Eukaryota; Viridiplantae; Streptophyta; Magnoliopsida; Fabales; Fabaceae. The record is from RefSeq and is a predicted model, not a curated record.
CAGCAAUAUACACUACAAAGAACACCAAAAUGAAUUUUUCUUUCAAACUGGCAUUCUUAUUAGUUAUUUUCGUCAUUUCAUCCGAUAUGUGUAUUGAAUCUGAAGCAAGAUUAGGAGGUGUAGUAGAUUCAGGUUGUCCUAAAAUUUGUCACGUCAAAGAAGGUGCUACUUGUUUGAACAACUUUUGUGUGUGUCAAAAAGACCCGGUUGGUCCAAUUAGACAUUGUUGCAACUCAUGUGUUGGACCCUUGUGUUACUGUCCACCAAACUGUAAUAUGUGUGGUUGAGCUCUAGUUAUAAUUAAUAUUGUAAACUGAGUAUUGGGAAUUUUAUGAUGUAUGAAUAAAAUAAAAUUUUCUCUUUUAAA